CCCCCCGGGCCCAGGGCGGCCGAUUGGCUCUCCAACUUCGCCCACUUCAACAAGUACCUGGAGAAGCUCUUCAACAGCAGCGUGAAGUCUAAGGACCCCAAGAAAUCGAAAAACGUUCAAAACCCCAAGAAUGCCGCGAACACCACAAAAAGUCCACCAGCAAACACCGUGAAACCGCUACCAGAGAAUACUAGGAAACCUCCCCAACAGAACACCGGGAAACCCUAACCACUGACCUCCUCCCAGGGCCCCAGAUGCCUGGCUCAAGUCUCCUCGCCCGCCGAGCCGCUUUAUAUUCCGCGAGGAGCCUUAAGUCCUACCUGCCCACCUCCCCCACCCCCAGUGAGAACAAUAAAGAGAAAUCUUUCUACGGC
Long non-coding RNA from Herpailurus yagouaroundi (jaguarundi), 374 nucleotides. RefSeq lists it as uncharacterized. The record is from RefSeq and is a predicted model, not a curated record. Lineage: Eukaryota; Metazoa; Chordata; Mammalia; Carnivora; Felidae. The transcript is spliced from 3 exons.